Molecule: long non-coding RNA, 4991 nt
Filed under: Panax ginseng (ginseng)
Lineage: Eukaryota; Viridiplantae; Streptophyta; Magnoliopsida; Apiales; Araliaceae
Description: long non-coding RNA (PGIN_LNC006575)
Source: RNAcentral
AUUGAAUACCUAAUCCUCAUAUUAGAAUACCCACCAUCAUGGUCUCUCUCCAGAUCUCUCACUAUCUCUCUCCAAUAAGGUGCGAGGGUUUGUCAGAUCUCGUAGCCACAUGAGUGGAAUCUCAAUUGGCGAUUCAUCAUCACAUCUCACUCGCAGAUCGUACUCCUGAUCUCAACUUGUUUAUCUCACCACCAUGGCGGCCGCUAACGCUCUGAUCACCAUGAGACCCUAACGGUAAAUUACUUUUUGCAUUUCUUUCCGAGUCGUACUCCUUUUUUUUUUUUUUUUAAUUUUAGCUAAAUUUGCAUGAUUAUUUGAAUGAACUGAUAGAAAACAGUUUGAAAUCAUCUGAAAUUCAAAUCUUUGUUGUUGUUUUCUUUCACCUUUUGAUUUGUGCAAUUUAUUGUAGUACAAGUGUUUCUAUUGGUUAAUAUCCGCCCUAAAAGAACUUACAGAUCUAUUAUGUGUAAUUACAUUUAGAUCUGUACUAUAGAUGUAGUUUAUCUGUGGAGUUACAAAAGUCGAGUUUAUGAAUAUGGCAUCUAAAUUAUGUGUUCUGGGUGGGCAAUUUUUUUGUCUUAGUGGUUGUGUACAGUGUUUUAAAUAAAAAUUGUGACGUUGUUACAGUUGCCAAGCAUAGGGAUAAACCCACAAUUUAUCACGUUUAGGAAUGUUACAAUGAAAUCGGAGAAGUAUAUAUGUGUUCGUGAGACGGCGCCACAUAUCAGUGUUGUGAUUAUUGAUAUGUUCAAGAGUAUUGCAGGUUUGCAAGAAAGAUAAUAGUCAGAAUUUUUCUUUAUUUUAAUCGUGGAUUUAACUGUACUAAAAUAUAGUCUAUUAUACUAGUUCGACUCAAUGUUUUGCUAAAAAUAAAGAUUACUUUCUUUGCCAAAGUUUAUAUGUACUGUGAGUUUGCAUUUCUUUUGGAACCUUUUCUACCUAAAGUAUUCGAUUUUAAUAGUUUGAUGGUUGGCUACGUAGCCCAAGUUCUAUUUAAAAAGGAAAUUGUGUUGUUUUUAAAGAUCUUUACUAUAAGAUACAACAUUGUAAACUUAGCAGAGAACACAAGUCCUAUAUGUUGUCUUGAAGUGACAGGAUUUUUUUGGCUAUUUUUUUUGGUGGGCCAGGGGACCUGAGAUUUCGAAGGUUAUGGCUUCCUAUCCAACUGGCUUAUGGUCAUUCACCUAUAUAAAUAUAUAUCUUUGUUUUUCCUCUUUUCUGGUUAUCUUAAUUUUAUUUGGUGAAUUGAGUCAAUUAACUGAAUUUACCUUGGGUCUAUCAAGUAUGCCUGUUAUCUUCAUUCUAAACUGACCCUUCAGUGCAAUCGUAGUUUUUUUUGCUUUUGUCAAUAUUAAAACUAUUGAAGUUAAUGUAAAGGUUUAAUAUCUUAAAGAUAAAAAAUAGAGAAUGAACCAAUAUAUAAGACUAAGAGGACAGACUACAAAUUUAGUAUUUUGUAUUUAAUUGUUUUUUCUCCGAUUGUUUUGACAUACGGUUUUUUCAAAUUGUGCUAGUAGAAUAUAAAAGUGUCUUUGUGAUAGUAAAACUGAUGAACAACCUAUUCAUAUAUCAAUUAUUUGCGAGAUAUAUAACAAAAAUGGCGUUUUAGUGGCGACAACAAAAGCAAUGAUGGUGAGUUUGGUAAAAUGCAUCAAUGUUGCAAGCAUCGAGUGAUAGUAAGGUUGUGGUAGAGGCGUCUUUGGUAGUGAUAGUAAGGUUGUGGUAGAGGCGUCUUUGGUAGAUAUAGUUAAGGCAUUGCUAGUGGUGAUCUUGGAGGGAAGGUCAGUAGGGCUUCAGUGUUGGCAACAUAACAAUAAUUGCAUUUUCAUGGUAACAAUUGCGGGUGAUUCGAGCAAUUGGGCUGUUUGUGGUUAGCAACAUUGGCAAUGAAAAUGGCACAUCAACUAAGAGUGAAAUUCCUAGUCUAAGUGACACCGAUAAUAACUGUAUUUGUUCUGUUAGAAGUCAAGUCCUUGGCAUUUGACUUACACUUGUAAACCUUUGAUAAUCAUUAUAUGUGCAUGUAUUGUAGUUGUAAUGUAUUAUUUUGCUAUAUUAUGUUUCUAAGUUGUGCUGAUCGCUGAAUAGCUGUUAAUUUAUGUUGUGUUGUAUAGACUGAGAAAGUUGAUCUGGAGAAUACAGUAGUUGACAAGAGCCAAAGACAAUUGAAAGAGGUUGGGGAGUCCUCUAGAUCGAACCAAGAAAAAUACAGCGGUAAGUUUUUCAAUUGCAUUAAAAUUGAUUCUGUAACCAGUACAAUGUAUUAAGCCAUUAUUUUUCCCUUUUCUUACAGCCUUUGUGCUAUCACAAAUCAAUUUGGAAUUUUAAAAAAGGUCGAGUGUAAUAUACCAUAUAAUUUUUCAAAUAAACCACUGAACCAAGAUUUUGCUUAGCUUUUAACUGUGGUUUAUUUUAUGGUUAUUGGGUGGAAUGAAGAACGCCAGACACGGGCCAAAAGCAUUAUUCCUUUCUUAUUUCCCAUUCUUCAUGAAUUAGCAAGAGCAGGAGGUAACUGUGGUGGGCCUAAAUAAGAUGGAAAAUUGAGUUUUGCAGUAUAAAGUGAGCCUUAUGGUUUAAACUUAAAAGUUAACGCAUAAAAUAUAAACUAGAGAAAAAAGUUAUCUAUGGUGUAGGCAUGUUGAGAUAAUGAAGUGCAACAUUUAAGUUUUGGAAACAAUAUAUGCACACUGGUAGCAUCAAUUUUCUGAUGUUGCAUCCAAGGCUUUUCUUGGACGUCUUUAUGAUGAUCUACUGAUCUAAUCAUAUUUAAUAAUGUCAAAAAGGCUCUGAUGUAGCCUAAAAAUUCCUUAGUCAACAAUUCUACUGGCAAGAAAUUUUGAACGUAUUUUGUUCUGUAUCAUAGUCCACUUAAUCUAAUGUUAUGGAACAUUUAACACUUUGCAUGUUAUCCAUGGGUAUUCUUGUGGUUGGCAGCUUCAGAAAACUUAAGAUAAUGUAGGCUACAUUUGGUAUUUGGUGUGUGGAGGUUACUGUUUACUGGAUCAACAAGGUGGAAGAGCAUCUAUAGGUUUUGUUAAGAAAGAAAGGGGAUUGAAAUUAGCUUUAUUUUGGUACUUAUGGCUGCUUGAUAGUUGAUUAUAGUUACUAAAAUUUUUAAAUAAAAUGAAUUGGGGUAUAAUAUUUAAUGAGAAAUUGGGCGGGCAACAGGUUUAUGUAAUUAGGCUCUUAAGCAAGAAAAUUACCAAAUAAGAAUGUUAAAUGUUGAGUUAGUAAGAAAAAGAAUGAUUAGAAUCGAACUUACUGUUUCAUAGUCUCGUCUUCUAUUUUCAGAUUGCAUUUCUUUUUGAAGGGGACAAAGAAAUGUCUUCACCUGCACGACCUAAAAAAAGCCUUUUAGUAGCGCUAAGCCUUUUAAACAUGGCUGUAUAGCAAUUUCAUUCUACCAGGUAGGGUGAAAACACUUGGUUGUUUAGGGGUGUGAACUACUACUACCUAAGGCAUUUAUUGUGAUAAGUAGCUUAUAAUAUUUUUAUGACUAAUAGCAUGCUUCAUAUGUGCUGAACUUGCACACACACACACACAUAUAUCUGAAUAUUGCAUAUUAUAUGCGUACCUAUUUAGAUAGUUUUCUACUGUCCAAUAAUUGUUUUGUGUUAUGUCCAAUCAAUUCAUAGAAGCCUAUCCCACUGUAUCGCAUUAUAAACCAAUUAGAGUAACAACUCAUAAGAUAUGUUAAUAAGUAACAUUGCUUCACAGACUAUAAGCUUCUAGAGUAAUCUGGCUUUUCAAAGCGUUACAACUCAUAAGAUCUGUUGGGUUCCCAAUCUAUAGUCAAAUGUUAUGGCAUAAUUAUUAUAUUGUAUAACAAAAAUCGUCUUUGUAUCCCUUUUUCUUAAACAUAUGGCAGAAUAUAGGAACUAUUAAAUGGCGACGUUCAAGAAUUUUAAAGAGGAGUUGUCCCAAUGUCUGUUGCAUCCAUUCAUGUCAGUUCCUGCACAUUUGUUGAUUGAAUAAUGUAAUGCUGGAACUUUUGAAUGCUCAAACUUUCCAUUUUCUAUCUAUUAAAUUUACUCAGUUGUCUUCUUGUUUCACUGUUUAACACUUUAACCUCAUUUACAACAUUGUGCAUGUCACCCUGAAACACAUGUCUGCACUAGCCUUUUGAUGUACUAUUUAGUUUUAUGGUUGUUAAAUCAUGGUUGGUGAUAGAAUUAAAACCUGAGCUUUCAUGUAAUUUGAAUUUUAUAUUUAAAACUGAUAUCUAUCUAAUCUUUCUACUUUCAUCAUGCAAUUAUUUGCAGCUUGUAGCUAGUGGACUUCAGGUUUGGGAACAAUUUGACUACUUUUUGAGACCUGAGAAGGUUUUUUUGGGGAGACGAAUUUAGAGAAGGUUUUGUGCUUUUUUCUGCUUGUAACUGUUCCUUGUGAAGAUAGGUUUCUAAUAACUCAGAAAAUGCCUGAUGAGUGGCAAAAAGUAUUCUAGUACCCAUUCAUCACAAUAGCUAGUACCCAUUCAUCACAAUAGCUAGUGAAGCUAGUGAGGUCAAUGGUUCAUGCUUACUGUUUAUGGGCUGCAUGCUAGCAUAUAAUGCAAAAACAGAACAAUUUGGUAGUCAAUAAAAAGGGUAUUACCUUCUUCCAUGUCCCUUGAUUGGUAAGAAAAUAACACAACAUUGUUGUCUUUGUGUAUUGAUUUUGACACUAAGUGUCUCUGGUGACCUAUUUGCUUCAUUUUCCUGACUUGCUAUUAUUUUUAAAUAUAUGCAGGAAGAUUGCUUCUACGACCUGUCUUACAAUAUUGGGUAUCAAAUUUUCGUGCUAUGUUUACGGAAGACAAAGGACGAAAUUAUGAAGUUUACUCUCUAUAUAUGUAGAUAUAUAUUUUGAUUGAAGAACUGUGGUAGCUUUAGUUGGUUAAUUGUAAAGAUAAUUAAUGAUUAUGUAGUGGAUGAUUUUAUUAAGUUAAUAAUAUUUUAUUUUAUUUUUGUAUUUUUGCCAUUAUUUGCUAUGGGGACAUUGAGCCAAUCAGG